GGGGGUGAAGUCGGUUAGCAGAUGCAUAAUGCCUAGGCACAUGGGGGCAAUGUAGGGCACAUUCAUCUGCUCAGGAUUCUGUGGCUCCUUCCCUGGGGAAAGGAGAGAGCAUCUUGGGUGGAGCCAUUUAUGGAGCAGCAC
Ceratotherium simum simum (southern white rhinoceros) is the source of this 141-nucleotide non-coding RNA. The record is from RefSeq and is a predicted model, not a curated record. NCBI's taxonomy places the organism in Eukaryota, Metazoa, Chordata, Mammalia, Perissodactyla, Rhinocerotidae.